This 274-nucleotide ribosomal RNA is filed under the name uncultured bacterium. Its description in RNAcentral is "partial 16S ribosomal RNA". It matches the Rfam family "Bacterial small subunit ribosomal RNA", at positions 524 to 796 of the family's 1533-position model. The record is from RNAcentral.
UACGGGGUGAGCAAGCGUGGUUCGGAUUUACUGGGCGUAAAGGGCGCGUAGGCGGCCACCGCAAGUCGACUGUGAAAUCUCCGGGCUUAACCCGGAAAGGUCAGCCGAUACUGCGGGGCUAGAGUGCAGAAGGGGCAACUGGAAUUCUCGGUGUAGCGGUGAAAUGCGUAGAUAUCGGGAGGAACACCUGCGGCGAAGGCGGGUUGCUGGGCUGACACUGACGCUGAGGCGAGAAAGCUAGGGGAGCGAACGGGAUUAGAUAACCUCGUAGUCC